Molecule: ribosomal RNA, 481 nt
Filed under: uncultured bacterium
Lineage: Bacteria
Description: partial 16S ribosomal RNA
Rfam family: Bacterial small subunit ribosomal RNA
Source: RNAcentral
GAUGAACGCUGGCGGCGUGCCUAACACAUGCAAGUCGAACGGAGAUUACGGACGGAAGUUUUCGGAUGGAAGACUGUAAUUCUUAGUGGCGGACGGGUGAGUAACGCGUGGGCAACCUGCCCUAUACAGGGGGAUAGCAGCUGGAAACGGCUGGUAAGACCGCAUAAGUCGGCGAGACCGCAUGGUUUUGCCGGGAAAUGAGCAAUCAGGUAUAGGAUGGGCCCGCGUCCGAUUAGCCAGUUGGCAGGGUAAAAGCCUACCAAAGCAAGGAUCGGUAGCCGGACUGAGAGGUCGGACGGCCACAUUGGGACUGAGACACGGCCCAAACUCCUACGGGGGGGAGCAGUGGGGGAUAUUGCACGAUGGAGGAAACUCUGAUGCAGCGACGCCGGGUGAGUGAAGAAGUAUUUCGGUAUGUGAAGCUCUAUCAGCAGGGAAGAUGAUGACGGUACCUGACUAAGAAGCCCCGGCUAACUACGUG